Molecule: ribosomal RNA, 372 nt
Filed under: uncultured organism
Description: bacterial SSU rRNA
Rfam family: Bacterial small subunit ribosomal RNA
Source: RNAcentral
CGGAGGGUGCGAGCGUUGUCCGGAAUCAUUGGGCGUAAAGGGCGCGUAGGUGGCCCGGUCAGUUCGUGGUGAAAGCGCGGGGCUCAACCCCGCGUCGGCCAUGAAUACUGCGGGGCUGGAGCACUGUAGAGGCAGGCGGAAUUCCGGGUGUAGCGGUGGAAUGCGUAGAGAUCCGGAAGAACACCGGUGGCGAAGGCGGCCUGCUGGGCAGUUGCUGACACUGAGGCGCGACAGCGUGGGGAGCAAACAGGAUUAGAUACCCUGGUAGUCCACGCCGUAAACGAUGGGCACUAGGCGCUUGGGGGAGCGACCCCCCGAGGGCCGGCGCUAACGCAUUAAGUGCCCCGCCUGGGGAGUACGGCCGCAAGGCUG